AGCAGGGCGACCCUCUCAGUCUGAGAUUCAACAUGCUCCUACAGCCUUCCUCCUCCUCCUCCUCCUCCUGUCUCUGUCAGCCUGGUGCCACAGCGCCCCCUACAGGGCACAGCUGACACCACAGCCAGCUGCCCCUCGUACUGAGGUUUCAUCUUCUGACACCUGAGACGUGUUCAGAAUCAGUUUUAGUGAAAAUGAGAGGUUUCACCAGUGACUUUUACUUUUACUAUAUUAAAUGUAUCAGUGGACAACAGGCAUCACAAAGACCUCCAGUGGUCCUGUACUUUUACUGCUGAUACUUUAAGUACCUCGAGAUGUAUUAUGCAUCUGUACUUUUUAGUUAAGUAAUGUUUUGACUGCAGGACGUUAACUUAGUAACAGAGUAUUUUUACAUUGUGGUAUCACUGCUUCUACUGAAGUAACAGACCUGAAUACUUCCUCCUUCACUUCCUGUCAGACGUCACCAUGUUCCCAGACCUCAGCAGCUACUUUGGCUUCCCAAAGGGACGCUGCUGAGGAGCUGGCUCACCAAGUCGCGGCCCCGGCUGCUGCUGCUGAUCGCAGGCUUGAAGAGGCCUCAGGUGACCCUCAUGAGGAGGAAAAGGAUGAAGCGCACAAAAGUAGCAAAGGCCACGUAAGCGAACCUGCAGCCGAAUGCCUCAAUUCACCUGAGUCCUAGACAGAGACAAUUUGUUUGUUAGAGAUGAAUACAAAGGAAAGGAAGAGCUGUGUGCCAGGUCUUUGCCCCAGCAAUAAACUACAACCCAGGCACCGCAGAACGGAGAGAAGCCAGAGGACGAACCACAGAGACUGAGACCUCCAGACUAGUUUGGACUGCAUCUGGACCUAGACUACCAGCUGCACGUCCUGUUCUGGCACAUUAGACUGUGAUGACUGUAACUUGUGCACUGCUCCUAUUCAAACACAAACUGCUGGUAGAACAGCCAUCCAUGUGUUCCUAGUUCCGACUCUGUCAGGUUUCCAGGUUGAUGUGUUUGAGCCUCAGAAGAACCCAAAUGAGCUGCUGAUUAAACUUUUAAACCUGAUGGUAUGCCAACUCCUGCCUUGCAGUUUUCUCUCACAUCAAACCUUUGCA
Monopterus albus (swamp eel) is the source of this 1096-nucleotide long non-coding RNA. RefSeq lists it as uncharacterized. NCBI's taxonomy places the organism in Eukaryota, Metazoa, Chordata, Actinopteri, Synbranchiformes, Synbranchidae. The transcript is spliced from 3 exons. The record is from RefSeq and is a predicted model, not a curated record.